AGCUCUUUGUCAUUUGGUUUUGCAAUUACUAAAGAUUUGUAUAGCUCCAGUGGAAAGACAACAAAACUGCAGAAUUGUUGUUUUCACCUGAAAUUACCAAGAAGGUCAUUGCUCCUUGUAUUGAGUAAACCUUAAGUGUUAUUAGGACUUUAAAUUGCUUUUUAUUAAAUGUUAUUGUUCAGAUAAAUCAUAUGUGGGGAUGUUGGACUGUGGAUGCGUCUCCCCAGCUGUCACAUUUAUUUGCUUAUCUCCUUAAGACGUUCAAUUUUCUGUCUGUCCCCGGUCUGUGUCUGCAUAUUCUCCAUCUUCUAAUGACCUCCAGCUAUUUCUUGAUAUUAUUUGAAGACUCAUUAGGGCUAUUGUUGUCCAGCUGCCAUAAAAAUCAGAUACUUUAAGCGGGGGAAGCUCUCCUUCCAACCUCCCAAACAGCAGAAGAGCCAUAAGCAUCUUACUAUGGAUUUCUUUUUAUUAAAGUUGUAUAUCUCCCUUUUACAGACCACGCCGUGUGUCAGGGAUCACAGACCCAGCUGAGGGCUGUGUUUCCCAUGGGACCCUCUGGCCUCAUUGCUCCAGAUGCACUCCCACUCCCUCCCAGCUCAUUUGUCUUUCAAUUUGCAGCUGCAGCCCGCUAAUGAACUCCCCCUUCGCUCUUACCAUGAGAGAGGGACCAGACCUCAGGUAGCAGCGUGGCUCACAGCUGAAGGCUUGGGAACUCGAUGCUCCAUUGCCAAAAGACACAGACAGGCAGACAGACGAGCGGACAGACAGACAAACUGCACGCGGUGCCUCCCUGUACUGCAGGAGCAGAGGACGGCGCUGCCCAUCGCACAGACCCCACCGAUGCCACCAACCAACACAGCGGCUCCAACCCCAUCAACCUUUGGAAGAAGGGGACUGUAGCCCCAAAGCUCCUCUCUGCCAGCUCCCAGAUGCUACAGUAAUUUGACACAUUAACGUCCCAGAGCCCCAGUAAUUGUCAAAGCAGACCACAGUUUAAGGUGCUCUACCCAGUGACGCGUUUGCAGCAGACAGGAAGGUCGAGGAACACCUGAUCCAGCACCAUCCCGCAGCCUCUCCAAUUUGCUCCUAUCAAAUUUCAUCAGCGACUCAGAACUUGAUCUUUCUAUUGAUUGACUGGAGUCACCUCUAGAUAUUUUCAUGCUGAUUUCGAAGCUCUUUCAUACGACAAAAGGGGAAAAAAAAAAAAAAAAUGAGGUUAAGGAAGACUUUUGACCACUGAGCAGCAAUCCAGCCAAAACUUUCCCAAGCAAGUCAUUUGCAAAUUUGGCUUCUGUGCAGAGAGAAACUUUCCACAGCCGAACACAACGUGGGAUCACUCCUAUCCUCACCCUGACCUCCCUAGAGUGGACCAUCUGUAAAUGAGGAGUUUCCAUGCUGAACCUGAGAGCACCCCCUAGCCCAGCAGCCGCCUCCCCCUGGACUCCCAGCACGUCCCCAGCCCAGGGCACCCACGCUCGGCCUCAGCUGCCAUGCUGUACCUGCUGGCUCUCCUCCUGCACCGUCUCCCCUUGGCCAUGGGACAGUAUGACAUUUGCAAGUCCUGGGUGACCACCGACGAUGGCCCAUCAUGGGAGUUCUACGCCUGUCAGCCCAGGGCCAUGAGGAUGAAGGAUUACGUGACGGUCAGAGUGGAUCCAGCAGGAAUUACAUGUGGGGACCCUCCGGAGAGGUUCUGCACUCAUGAGAACCCGUACCUGUGCAGCGACGAGUGCGACGCCUCCAACCCAGACCUGGCCCACCCACCAAAGCUCAUGUUUGACAGCGAGGAUGAAGGCUUGGCCACGUAUUGGCAGAGUGUGACAUGGCGCCGGUACCCGGAACCGCUGCUGGCCAACAUCACUCUGUCCUGGAACAAGAGCAUCGAGCUGACGGACGACAUCGUCAUCACCUUUGAGUACGGCCGUCCCACCAUCAUGAUGUUGGAGAAGUCGCUGGACAACGGGAGGACUUGGCACCCGUACCAGUAUUAUGCAGAUGACUGCAUGGAGGCCUUCAGCAUGCCAGCACGGAGGGUCCGGGACCUCUCCACCACCAGUGCCAACAGGGUCCUCUGCACGGAGGAAUAUUCCCGCUGGGCGGGCUCCAAAAAGGAGAAGACCGUCCGCUUUGAGGUGAGGGACCGCUUCGCCAUCUUUGCUGGCCCCGACCUCAAGAACAUGGACAACUUGUACACAAGGCUGGAGAGCGCCAAGGGGCUCAAGGACUUCUUCACCGUGACCGACCUGAGGAUGAGGCUGCUGCGACCGGCGCUGGGGGGCACCUACGUGCAGAGGGAGAACCUCUACAAGUACUUCUACGCCGUCUCCAACAUUGAAGUCACCGGCAGGUGCAAAUGCAACCUCCACGCUAACCUGUGCACCUUCAAGGAGGGCAGCCUCCAGUGCGAGUGUGAGCACAACACCACGGGGCAGGACUGUGGCAAGUGCAAGAAGAACUUUCGCUCCAGGUCUUGGCGAGCAGGAUCCUACCUGCCCCUCCCCAACGGGUCCCCCAAUGCAUGUGCAGCUGCAGGCUCAGCCUUUGGCACCUUUGAGCGACCGCAGCGGGUUAGCACUGCAAAAACCACCACUGCAAAAACCACCACUGCAAAAACCAUCCCCACCACCACAACCACCACCAGCACCCCCCUUCCUGCCUCCACCACCACCCAGCCAGGUUGGUGCCAUGCUUCCUGCGCUCCUCAUUUUGCCUUUUCCUCACCCCGGCUCCUCUGGCGGUGCUGGAGAACGCGUGGGGACUGCUGUGGGUUUUCUGUGCUCUAGGAUGAUAUGGGGACAUGGAUAAAAAUCAGCCUGACGGGUUCACAUCCCUCAACCUCGGAGCAGACCUGGUUUGCUUUGCCCCUGUUCAGUCCCAGGGCAGUAGGAGCAGGUGCCAUGUUUCCUCCAACCAUGAAGCCAACAGUUACAGGUCCACCUUGGAGCCCAAGACCACGCAGUGGGUUGACAUCCCCCUCUCUUACUAUCAGGGCAGCAGGAAGAAGCCAGGACUGGAUGCAGGAAGGAACAAUUUUCCCUAUUUUUCCUCCUUUUUCUUUUUUUUUUCCCCCCCCCAAAAAGGCACAAUGGGAGAGGAUUGUGCUCACCUUCCUUCCCCCAGCGGGCUGGCUCUGCCUUCAGUGGCUCUCCAAGUUCUGCCUCAAGUCCCAGCUCAAGGGCUGAGCUGCAGGCUGGCUGCCUGCUCAAGGGCAGGCGUUCAGAGAGAACUGGCACACGCCAACAAUCCCCAAGCAGCUCUGCACAAAUAGAGGGCAGAGAAUGGAGCUCGCACGCGCCUCAAACACCCCUUCCUAUUUUCUCCAAUCACCCCGUGGAGGAAAACUUUUGUGUUUUCUCCUGGGGUUCCUCCUCCCCUCCCCUGCGAACAAGGAGACAUCGUUUUCACUUUUCUUUUGGAAAUGAGCAGAUAAAACUUAACAGCAGGACGUUUUUUUUUAAGCUUCUCAUGGGGGAAUUAGACACGCAUUCCUCCCAUUGCCAUGCUUUCUGGGCCUGAUAUUUCCCAGGAGGACGAUUUACACCCACAGUAUGUUAGUAACAGUCUGUCUGGGGGAGCUGCCAGAAGCCAGUCAAAGGGAUGAGGAAACUUGAUUACAUGUUUAUGAAUAUAUAGCUAUAUACAGGGAGGUACCCUGCUCGGGAAGCUGGGGGUUUAUCUCCACUUCCACAGACUCUGGGUAAUCUUCUCUGUUCAAAAGCACUCUUCACCCAUAUAUAUGACCUACAGUAUGCAUGGGGAGGUUGUUGGCCACCCAGUGCUCCCAUCACCACUAUGUCCACAAUGGAAGGAACCACACACUUGGGGUCGCCUGAUUUUUAUCCAUGCUCACUCACAGCAAUAUUUUAGGCCUAGUUUUGUUAUUGUUUGUUUUUUUUUGCAAGUGCUGUGUGUACGUGGGUGGUGUAUUUAGUGCCUAUCUCACAUAUGAUUUUGUCCAUCUGGGGCGGGCAGGGAGGCAACAGCGCAGUGUUGGGGAUGAAGGGCCAAGCUGCUCUGAGCAACCUGGAUUUGGGGGUUAUCCCUUCUCCCUGCAUAGAAUCAAUGCCCUCGUAGUGUUUUCACAUCACCCCUUAGCACCAGGUAAUAAGUAAAUAAAGAAAUGUAAACCGUGGAACAGCCACCACAUCUCUGCCUCUACAGGGGCAGGGCUGAGCUGAUCAUCUCCAUCCAAGCCCUGGUUUGUUUUUCUGCACUGCCAGGUCUCACCCCAGAACUGUGUCUUUGAUAUGGAAUCAAAGCACAGCCCAAUCCUAAUUUGUUUUAGAGCUUAAGAGUGUAGAGUUUGCCCCCAGUUCUUACCUCUGUGCAGGAAAGGAGAUUCAGGCUGGGGUUUUGCAGCUCUCAUGGUCCCUUCAUAGAGGGAAUCUGGUCCCCAAUCUCCAGAGAUGUCCAGAGAUAAUCUUCCCACUCCAGCCCUGCAAAAUGUAAAGUACUUCUUUAAAUACCACAAGGGGCUCUGAAUGGAACUCACUUGAACCUCAGGGAAAACACCUCAUUAAAAAAAGGUGACCCACUUGCAGGAGACGCAAUAACCCCGAGAUGGGUAACAAUCCCAAGUGAGAUCCUCUGUCAUUGCCUCUCUCCUCAAUUUUAGAAGCAUGAAACAAAUUCCUCCUUACUUAAAAGUCAGCUCAGACAGACAUAAUACUCCCCCUCCCCCCAGGUCCCAUCAAUGUCCCAUCACUGUCUUGUUUCCCCCUCUAACAUACACGCUGUUUUUUCACCCUCUGAAUUUCUGCUUCCCACCAUAAGCAAGCAUCAUCAGACCUGCCUCUGAGCCCGCUGCCUCUCUGCCCAUGAAAGAGAAGGAGGAAAAAACAGGUAUUUCCAGCCAGACUGAUGUGUUCUCCCUUCUCCUCCAUCCCUCCACGCGCUGGGAUAGCAGCCAGGCACGUAGACUAGAGGGGCAGAUCAGAGUUGGGUUGACUCUGGGUUGCGGGGAUCUGGCAGACAGCAGCCUCCUUUGGCUGCUCGUGGUGCUUUCUGUGGUCAAGGAGGAGCUGUGCUCAUGUUCUUGGGAUGCUUUUGUGCCCGCUGUGUGGUGAGAGGGGAAAGGAGUGUGUUCAGUGCGUUCAAGGACUCGGGCUGUGGUCUGAGCAUAGUGGGGUCUGCCAAAACGGGCAGAACAGUUACCCCAAGGAGGAUGAAUUGAGUGCCAUUCUCCCUUGUCUUCCACAGUUUUGUUAUUUCUAAGUCUUCCCCGGAGCCUGUCAAAUCUGCCUUGCCAUUAGUUACGUUUUCCCCCACAUUCAAAAUAAGCAAAAGGAGCUUUCUUGGUUUUUUGUUUUGUUUUUUCCUUCCCCUUUUCCUGCUUCCAUUUUCCCCACUGGUUUGUAACCCAGCAGUGCCAGUUCACUUCUGGGACAAACAGAACCAACCUAAGCUUUGGUUUUACCAACUCCCUGGUGCUGGACAAACACAUCCUAUGCCCUUCUCUCCCAGAUGCUCGUGCACUUGGGGAAAGACAAGGGCUUCUCAAGGUCUUUCCCCUGUACUUCUGCACUGUUUCAAACAUCUCUUCCCCCAGUGUGUUUUUUUUUUACAAAGAAGGGCUUCUUGGUUCACUUUCUGCUGCCUCACCAGAAACCCCACCAAGACCUGGUGUUGCCACCAGAGCCAUAGAAGCCCAGCAGGAGGUGCCUGGUGCUCCCAUUGGUGUGGAGCGGGUUUGGGUGAAGCAUCUCUCUCCCACUCCUGAAAUGUAAAACUGUCCAUUAAUGUCACAGAGCUACAAGGGAAAAGUUCUCAGGAUAAUGAGCAUUAAUAAUUUUCCUGGCUCUGCAAACGCGAUGUGAGUGGAGGUGUAUGCGAAUGACUAAAAAGCAAAAUGCCUCCAGGGCUGUUUUUUAUUGUGACUCUAAUUAAACCCUUGCCAAUUUGCACAGGGCUUUUUUCAUAUUCUCCUUUAACAGCAUAUUAAUAUCAAUUGGUUUCCACUUUCCAGCUGAAAAGGACAAUGUCUAUCACCUUCUCUUAGAGCUCAUCAUUUAGGGAAAAAAUAUAUUCUUUUUUAUUCUGCAUUGUUUAUGAUCCCCUUGACGAGGCUGGGAAAUCACAUUUCUCUCCUACUCGGGUUUGUCCUUUGAAACUUGGCAAGGAUCGAGGAAUUUUUUUUUUCCCUCCUCCUCCUUAUGUUACCCAAUUGGAGCCUGAAAUUAAUAAUGUGGCUUUUAAAUUUGCAUUCCUCGAUUUGUUUUCUAGCAAACCUGAAGAUUGUUACCACUACUGAGGAGACAGAGAGGGGCAUGGAAGCAGAGGGGUUGAAAGCAUGCAGAGAAACCGAACUAGGGAUCUAUAAAUGCCCUGCUGCUUUAAUUUCCCUGCAGGGGCUUGCAAAUUCUGUAACUGCUAUUUCCAAGGAAAGAGCAGAGCCUGAAGCAGGGCCGAGUUAACAGCAGAAAUCAGGACUCAGUGCCUCCAACACGUAGGAUAUUCCUCUGCAAACACACAAAACUAAAGCAGUGCUUUCGGAAGGGCUGAGAAGCGACAGCUCAGUUGCACUGCUCCCCUCCUGUCCUCUGCACUGCAAUGUGGGGAUGUUAGCUGCCAAAUCCCACCCGAGGCACAAAAACCUGCAAGGCACGUGCUCACAGGGCCAGGUUUUGUCCUCCAGCCCAAUGCAAAGCUCCCAGCUGGUUCCCAGUUCCCCCAGCACAUCUCCUAACACAGCUCUCUGUCUGAUUGCUGCCAGGCUACCCCAACCUGUCUGCGGCUGCCCCGCUGCAGGUGGGCUCUCCCCCAGCCAAGGUUGGGGCAGCAGAAGGUAGGAGAUACACGGCUGAGUCGGGUCCUGCCAGCCAAUCCCUGCUCCCACCUCUUUCCUUUGUAGCUCUGCAUAUCUUCUUUCCAUGCAUCUCUCUCUUCCUCCCGCCUGGGAAAAGCUGGGGGUUCAUCUGUGCCCUACAUGCAGCUGGUAAUCUGGUGAGGCUGGAUUGAGCCUCAGGGUUUAGUCGCAUACAUGAAAGAUGAGGAUGAUAAGUGGUAGAAGAGAUUGUUCUCGGCUUGCUGCUGGGGUGAACAGAGAGGAUCAUGGAAAUCCUGUUGUCUCCUGAGACCAGAAUAACUUUGUAAACAGAUAGGCUUGUGUCGUUUAUAGCAUAGAUGCCUUCUUACAUAUUUCCUUGCUUCGGGUCUCCCACGUGUCUGCCUACGGUGAGCUAUGAAGCUCCUGGUGGGAGCCCUGGGAGGCUGUUGGGGCUGCAGUGCCUCCUCCUCAGGGCUCCCACUGACACAUGCUUUGGCAGCUGCUGGUGGUGCUCACUGCCUUCUUCCAGCUGAGAUGCCUGUAGCUAUCUCCCCCAUAGACACCAGCAUCCCUUCCAGUGCAGAAUGUAACACCAGCUGGAGCCAGGCCAGGACACAACCCAGCAUCUGCUAAUAGUGAAUGGGGGACAGAAAGUGCUGGAAUUCAGGCUUGUUUGAACUGUUGUGCUUUUGGGUUUGUCUCUAACCUCACAGAGAGAAAAAAUUGUAUUUGAAAUAGUUAUAAGAUAGGCCAACACCAUUUGCACCAAUGCCAGGUGAUGCUGACGGUCUGUACUGAACAAUGGGGACUCCUGAGUCUUGGCAGAGGUCUGCUUCUCUCCAUGCUUCAUGCAAUGCAGUGACCACAUGUCAACACUCAUCUGUCCAGCAGCUCCUCUUAGGAGUAGCUUCUGUACUAGAAGACCAAUUUCCAGGAGAUUUUGUCUCCCAUACAUGUCCCAUUGCAUCCUCAACCACACAUGGCUCCACCAACCCACCCUAGAUACCUGAAUAGAGCUUCCAGUGUCCUUUUCUCUCCUUUUUAAGCAAGCAAGUGCAAGACCUGUAUUAAAUCUGAUGUUCUCUCUAACUGAUGCCACCUUAAGCUGUUCAGAGCCCAACAAAAGUAGCAGCACCUGAACCCAAGCUGAAGCCACCAGACCCUCCCAAGAACAUUCGAGGUAAGGCCCUUUCCCAGAGAUGGAGCAGGUCUGUUUUCUCCCCCAUUGCCCACAGGCUGGGAAAAAUGUGCCCAUCCUCAGCGUGCCCAGCACUGUGCAAUCCAUUCCCCCACUCGUAUUGAGAUCAGCUCAAUUCUGCUCAUUCCACCCCAUAGAAGUCUUUCUGAAUGCUCUUUUGGGGUUGGCAGAUGUGGAUGGGUGGGACAGGUGAGAGAAACCAGGGGCCAGUUUCCCUAUCCACCAUUCCUUGAGAGACCAUUUGCCUUUUCCACACUUGGAGAACACGGAAGAUACACUGGGGGUCCCAUGAGCACCAGCUCAGCCAUGGGCAGCCACUUCUCCUGGUGGAUCAGCCACCACCCAGCCCUGCACAGCAAGCAUGGGGGGCUCUGUGUCUCCACCUCAGCAUUCAGAUAUAUUUUAUCAUCUCACGUAGCAGCUCCGAAGAACAAAGCAGGGCGCACAGCACACUCUGCAGGCAAGAGGCAUGGGAAGAAGUCAGGUAGGUGCUGGGAUGGGCAAGAGGGCUGGAGCAGCCUGGGUUCUGCAGGAUUCUGUGCUUUAUACCACCUCCGUAGCUUUUGUGCUCUUAGCUGUGGUCCUAGCUGCUUUUUGAGGGUGGUGACAGGCUGUCUGCAUGGCCGUCAUCAAAGCAAGGCCGCAGACAGGAGCUCUUUAGACCUGUAGAUCCUCAGCCUGGCCAAGCCAACCCCAUGUGUAAGCAGGGGACGCGUGGAUGGCUCCUUCUGCCCAGCACUCAGCUCUGUGCAUUGCAAUACUGCCGUGCAUGGAAUUUUUCAUGCAUCAAACUUUGAGGAGGGGAAAAGAAGAGGAGAAAUUUAGCAGCUACCAGCUGUCUGGUGCAGAAAUAGCUUUCAACGCUGCCAGCGCGGUGUUCCUGACUUGGCUCAUCAUUGUUCUCAUAGCAGAGAUGCUCGCGGUAGUGUAGGACGCAAAGCGGUGUAGAGCAGUGAGAAAAAGCCUGUCUCUGAUUUUCCUUAAGCAUCCUCAAAGAACUCAAAACUCAUCCGGCUCCAACCAGACACCGGCCCGCUGGCUCCUAUUGAAACAUAUAAAGACUGUGAGUGCUACGGCCACUCCA
Molecule: non-coding RNA, 9048 nt
Organism: Phasianus colchicus (ring-necked pheasant)
Lineage: Eukaryota; Metazoa; Chordata; Aves; Galliformes; Phasianidae
Source: RefSeq, a predicted model, not a curated record